RNAcentral lists this long non-coding RNA (310 nucleotides) under Gossypium barbadense (sea-island cotton). Its description in RNAcentral is "long non-coding RNA (GBAR_LNC000841)". The record is from RNAcentral. Lineage: Eukaryota; Viridiplantae; Streptophyta; Magnoliopsida; Malvales; Malvaceae.
CAAAUUUUACAACAAAUCCUUAAACUAAUACAAAUUUACCAACACACAAAAUCAAUUCACUGCUACCACAAAAUAUCUUGGUAUCUCCUUCUUCUUCUUCUUCUUCUUCUUUUUUUUUUUUUGCGGGGUUUAAUCAUAUUCUCAAUCAAUCACAUAACAGAACAAGCAGCAGGGUUUUCGUCGCUGAAAGCUGUGGUGUACCUAACUUCAGUGGAGCUAGCACGUGCGAGAUGCGACACUUGCGGGUCCUCCGCGUUGCGGACGUACCCAGCCGGAGCCUUCUUAUCGUAAACCCCGGGGGCGUAUGGGU